RNAcentral lists this unclassified non-coding RNA (410 nucleotides) under Basidiomycota sp. RNAcentral describes it as "partial contains small subunit ribosomal RNA, internal transcribed spacer 1, and 5.8S ribosomal RNA". The stretch from base 1 to 47 matches the Rfam family "Eukaryotic small subunit ribosomal RNA", at positions 1785 to 1831 of the family's 1831-position model. Lineage: Eukaryota; Fungi; Basidiomycota. The record is from RNAcentral.
AAAGUCGUAACAAGGUCUCCGUAGGUGAACCUGCGGAGGGAUCAUUAACACGUUUCCAACAAAACGUUUCCAACCAAAAAACCGUGAACCCGAAACAACUCCCUUCUCGAACCGACGAAUGCGAUGAGUCAGGGUGGAGUCACUGCGGCCCAACGGCUGCAGGGACUGCUCUCCGUUCUAGGGGCCUCCGAGCUCCAAUCGAUCGAGAAGUGACCGUGCCACCACCUGGCAGACUGCAUUUCCAGUCCUCGGACCGGAUCUAAGCAGCGUCUGCCGAAUCACUCACAACCUUUUUAACCCCUUUAACCACAUACUAAUCUACUGAACCUUUUUUUCUGAUCACAUCCGUGUGGUCAUAAAAAGAUAUACGUAAUGCUGAACAACUCUUAGCAAUGGAUAUCUUGGUUCUC